RNAcentral lists this ribosomal RNA (597 nucleotides) under Hylarana montosa (mountain stream frog). RNAcentral describes it as "partial 16S ribosomal RNA". The stretch from base 342 to 589 matches the Rfam family "Archaeal large subunit ribosomal RNA", at positions 1787 to 2143 of the family's 2987-position model. The record is from RNAcentral. Lineage: Eukaryota; Metazoa; Chordata; Amphibia; Anura; Ranidae.
UUAUUUGAAAUAGGAUACAACCUCCAACACUGGGUAAAGUGUAGUGAUCCAAACAAAGUGGGCCUAAAAGCAGCCACCUUUCAAAAAGCGUCAUAGCUUAACCUCCUCACACUCCAAUUCGUAAAAUCACCCUCAACCCUUAAUUAGUACUGAACUAUUUUAUAUUUUUAUAAAAAUAAUUAUGCUAGAACUAGUAACAAGAAAUUGCCCUUCUCCCAAUGCAAGUAUAAAUCAAAACGACACCCCAAUGAUAAUUAACGUAAAUGCAAAAAAUAUAGUAACAUAUAUCUAGAAAACUCUAUAAUUUCAAACGUUAACCUUACACCAGAGCAUUACAGGAAAGAUUUAAAGAGAAAGAAGGAACUCGGCAAACUUCAGCCCCGCCUGUUUACCAAAAACAUCGCCUCUUGAUUCCCAUAAGAGGUCUAGCCUGCCCAGUGACAAAGUUCAACGGCCGCGGUAACCUAACCGUGCAAAGGUAGCAUAAUCACUUGUUCUCUAAAUAGGGACUCGUAUCAAUGGCAUCACGAGGGCUUCACUGUCUCCUUUCUCCAAUCAGUGAAACUGAUCUCCCCGUGAAGAAGCGGGGAUUUUAAU